ACCCAAGGCCAUUCCACCUGGAACAUGUCCAAUCUCAUCUGAUCCCAGGAGCUAAUCAGGGCUGGGCCUGGUUAGUAUGUGGAAGGGAGAAACACUAAGGAGAGCGCCAAAACUCAUAGGCCUGGGUG
Molecule: ribosomal RNA, 128 nt
Filed under: Castor canadensis (American beaver)
Lineage: Eukaryota; Metazoa; Chordata; Mammalia; Rodentia; Castoridae
Source: RNAcentral